This 1224-nucleotide ribosomal RNA is filed under the name metagenome. RNAcentral describes it as "SSU rRNA". It matches the Rfam family "Eukaryotic small subunit ribosomal RNA", at positions 493 to 1774 of the family's 1831-position model. The record is from RNAcentral.
CUCAUGGUUUCACGGUAUUGCAAUGAGAACAAUUUAAAACCCUUAGCGAGAAUCAAGUGGAGGACAAGUCCGGUGCCAGCACCCGCGGUAAUUCCAGCUCCACUAGCGUAUAUUAAAGUUGUUGCAGUUAAAAAGCUCGUAGUUGAACCUCUGUCUGGGGCUAGUUUUGGCUUUGGUCAGGCUAGUUCUAGGCAUCCGCCUACAAGACUUAGAGGGCAUUCAGUUGUUCACUAGGAGGAGUAGGCAUUUUACUUUGAAAAAAUUAGAGUGCUUAAGGCAGGCAAUCGCCCGCAUAUAUUAGCAUGGAAUAAUAGAAUAGGACACUUUUCCAUUUCGUUGGUUAUUGGAAUCGUGUAAUGAUUAAUAGGGACAGUUGUGGGCAUUUGUAUUUAAUUGUCAGAGGUGAAAUUCUUGGAUUUAUUAAAGACAAACUAACGCGAAAGCAUUUGCCAAGGAUGUUUUCAUUAAUCAAGAACGAUAGUUAGGGGAUCAAAGACGAUCAGAUACCGUCCUAGUCUUAACUAUAAACUAUUCCGACUCAAUGUUUGACUGGCUUAUAUAACCAGUUGAGCGUUGUAUGAGAAAUCAAAGUCUUUAGGUUCUGGGGGGAGUAUGGUUGCAAAGCUGAAACUUAAAGGAAUUGACGGAAGAGCACAACCAGGAGUGGAUUCUGCGGCUUAAUUUGACUCAACACGGGGAAACUUACCAGGUUAAAACAAUAGUGGGAUUGACAGUUUGAGAGCGCUUUCUUGAUUGGUUGGGUGGUGGUGCAUGGCCGUUCUUAGUUGGUGGAGUGAUUUGUCUGCUUAAUUGCGUUAACGAACGAGACCUUAACCUGCUUACUAGACUGGCGAUCAUCAAUCGUUAGCUCUUCUUAGAGGGACUUUGGUUGUUUUAACUCCAAGGAAGUUUGAGGCAAUAACAGGUCUGUGAUGCCCUUAGAUAUCCUGGGCCGCACGCGUCAUACAAUGACUAGUUCAGAAAGUUUUCUCCUGACCCGAAAGGGGAUGGGUAAUCUUGAUAAUACUAGUCGUGUUAGGGAUCGAUCUUUGCAAUUAUAGAUCUUGAACGAGGAAUUCCUAGUAAGUGCGGUUCAUCAGACCGUACUGAUUACGUCCCUGCUCUUUGUACACACCGCCCGUCGCUUCUACCGAGUGGGUGGUCCGGUGAGAUAAUUGAACUUCGCAGGUAACUGAGAGGAAAGAUUAUCAAACCUAUCCACCU